AAUGAACGCUGGCGGCGUGCCUAACACAUGCAAGUCGAGCGGUAAGGCCCCUUCGGGGGUACACGAGCGGCGAACGGGUGAGUAUCGCGUGGGUAACCUACCCAGAGGUAGGGGAUAGCCUCGGGAAACCCGGGGGUAAUACCGUAUGAGUCCUCUUUGACGCAAGUCGAUGAGGGGAAAGGCGGGGAUCCUUCGGGACCUGUCGUCUCUGGAUGGGCCCGCGUCCGAUUAGCUUGUUGGUGGGUAAUGGCCCACCAAGGCUGCGAUCGGUAGCCGGCCUGAGAGGGUGAACGGCCACAUUGGGACUGAGACACGGCCCAGACUCCUACGGGAGGCAGCAGUGGGGAAUAUUGGGCAAUGGGGGAAACCCUGACCCAGCGACGCCGCGUGGAGGAUGAAGGCCUUCGGGUUGUAAACUCCUGUCAGGUGGGAAGAAAUGCCUACCGGUUAAUAGCCGGCAGGAGCUGACGGUACCACCAAAGGAAGCCCCGGCUAACUCCGUG
This 503-nucleotide ribosomal RNA is filed under the name uncultured bacterium. RNAcentral's name for it is "bacterial SSU rRNA". It matches the Rfam family "Bacterial small subunit ribosomal RNA", at positions 28 to 507 of the family's 1533-position model. The record is from RNAcentral.